This 460-nucleotide ribosomal RNA is filed under the name uncultured bacterium. RNAcentral's name for it is "partial 16S ribosomal RNA". It matches the Rfam family "Bacterial small subunit ribosomal RNA", at positions 338 to 795 of the family's 1533-position model. The record is from RNAcentral.
CCUACGGGAGGCAGCAGUGAGGAAUAUUGGUCAAUGGGCGGGAGCCUGAACCAGCCAAGUCGCGUGAGGGAAGACGGUCCUAUGGAUGGUAAACCUCUUUAGGCGGGGAGCAAUGCCGGGCACGCGUGCCCGAAGGGAGAGUACCCGCAGAAUCAGCAUCGGCUAACUCCGUGCCAGCAGCCGCGGUAAUACGGGGGAUGCGAGCGUUAUCGGGAUUUAUGGGGUUUAAAGGGUGCGUAGGCGGAAUUUUAAGUCAGCGGGAAAAUGUCGGGGCGCAACCCGGGCCGGCCGUUGAAACUGGGGAUCUUGAGGGGGAGAGAAGUAUGCGGAAUGCGUGGUGUAGCGGUGAAAUGCAUAGAUAUCAGGAAGAACUCCGGUGGCGAAGGCAGCAUACUGGCGCGCGACUGACGCUGAGGCACGAAAGCGUGGGGAUCGAACAGGAUUAGAUACCCGGGUAGUC